GGAGGACCAUCUCCUAAGGCUAAAUACUCUCUAGUGACCGAUAGUGAACCAGUACCGUGAGGGAAAGGUGAAAAGCACCCCGGAAGGGGAGUGAAAUAGAACCUGAAACCGUGUGCUUACAAGUAGUCAGAGCCCGUUAAUGGGUGAUGGCGUGCCUUUUGUAGAAUGAACCGGCGAGUUACGAUUUGAUGCAAGGUUAAGCAGUAAAUGUGGAGCCGUAGCGAAAGCGAGUCUGAAUAGGGCGUUUAGUAUUUGGUCGUAGACCCGAAACCAGGUGAUCUACCCUUGGUCAGGUUGAAGUUCAGGUAACACUGAAUGGAGGACCGAACCGACUUACGUUGAAAAGUGAGCGGAUGAACUGAGGGUAGCGGAGAAAUUCCAAUCGAACCUGGAGAUAGCUGGUUCUCUCCGAAAUAGCUUUAGGGCUAGCCUCAAGUGAUGAUUAUUGGAGGUAGAGCACUGUUUGGACGAGGGGCCCCUCUCGGGUUACCGAAUUCAGACAAACUCCGAAUGCCAAUUAAUUUAACUUGGGAGUCAGAACAUGGGUGAUAAGGUCCGUGUUCGAAAGGGAAACAGCCCAGACCACCAGCUAAGGUCCCAAAAUAUAUGUUAAGUGGAAAAGGAUGUGGCGUUGCCCAGACAACUAGGAUGUUGGCUUAGAAGCAGCCAUCAUUUAAAGAGUGCGUAAUAGCUCACUAGUCGAGUGACACUGCGCCGAAAAUGUACCGGGGCUAAACAUAUUACCGAAGCUGUGGAUUGUCCUUUGGACAAUGGUAGGAGAGCGUUCUAAGGGCGUUGAAGCAUGAUCGUAAGGACAUGUGGAGCGCUUAGAAGUGAGAAUGCCGGUGUGAGUAGCGAAAGACGGGUGAGAAUCCCGUCCACCGAUUGACUAAGGUUUCCAGAGGAAGGCUCGUCCGCUCUGGGUUAGUCGGGUCCUAAGCUGAGGCCGACAGGCGUAGGCGAUGGAUAACAGGUUGAUAUUCCUGUACCACCUAUAAUCGUUUUAAUCGAUGGGGGGACGCAGUAGGAUAGGCGAAGCGUGCGAUUGGAUUGCACGUCUAAGCAGUAAGGCUGAGUAUUAGGCAAAUCCGGUACUCGUUAAGGCUGAGCUGUGAUGGGGAGAAGACAUUGUGUCUUCGAGUCGUUGAUUUCACACUGCCGAGAAAAGCCUCUAGAUAGAAAAUAGGUGCCCGUACCGCAAACCGACACAGGUAGUCAAGAUGAGAAUUCUAAGGUGAGCGAGCGAACUCUCGUUAAGGAACUCGGCAAAAUGACCCCGUAACUUCGGGAGAAGGGGUGCUCUUUAGGGUUAACGCCCAGAAGAGCCGCAGUGAAUAGGCCCAAGCGACUGUUUAUCAAAAACACAGGUCUCUGCUAAACCGUAAGGUGAUGUAUAGGGGCUGACGCCUGCCCGGUGCUGGAAGGUUAAGAGGAGUGGUUAGCUUCUGCGAAGCUACGAAUCGAAGCCCCAGUAAACGGCGGCCGUAACUAUAACGGUCCUAAGGUAGCGAAAUUCCUUGUCGGGUAAGUUCCGACCCGCACGAAAGGCGUAACGAUUUGGGCACUGUCUCAACGAGAGACUCGGUGAAAUCAUAGUACCUGUGAAGAUGCAGGUUACCCGCGACAGGACGGAAAGACCCCGUGGAGCUUUACUGUAGCCUGAUAUUGAAAUUCGGCACAGCUUGUACAGGAUAGGUAGGAGCCUUUGAAACGUGAGCGCUAGCUUACGUGGAGGCGCUGGUGGGAUACUACCCUAGCUGUGUUGGCUUUCUAACCCGCACCACUUAUCGUGGUGGGAGACAGUGUCAGGCGGGCAGUUUGACUGGGGCGGUCGCCUCCUAAAAGGUAACGGAGGCGCUCAAAGGUUCCCUCAGAAUGGUUGGAAAUCAUUCAUAGAGUGUAAAGGCAUAAGGGAGCUUGACUGCGAGACCUACAAGUCGAGCAGGGUCGAAAGACGGACUUAGUGAUCCGGUGGUUCCGCAUGGAAGGGCCAUCGCUCAACGGAUAAAAGCUACCCCGGGGAUAACAGGCUUAUCUCCCCCAAGAGUUCACAUCGACGGGGAGGUUUGGCACCUCGAUGUCGGCUCAUCGCAUCCUGGGGCUGUAGUCGGUCCCAAGGGUUGGGCUGUUCGCCCAUUAAAGCGGUACGCGAGCUGGGUUCAGAACGUCGUGAGACAGUUCGGUCCCUAUCCGUCGUGGGCGUAGGAAAUUUGAGAGGAGCUGUCCUUAGUACGAGAGGACCGGGAUGGACAUACCUCUGGUGUACCAGUUGUCGUGCCAACGGCAUAGCUGGGUAGCUAUGUGUGGACGGGAUAAGUGCUGAAAGCAUCUAAGCAUGAAGCCCCCCUCAAGAUGAGAUUUCCCAACUUCGGUUAUAAGAUCCCUCAAAGAUGAUGAGGUUAAUAGGUUCGAGGUGGAAGCAUGGUGACAUGUGGAGCUGACGAAUACUAAUCGAUCGAAGACUUAAUCAA
RNAcentral lists this ribosomal RNA (2471 nucleotides) under Staphylococcus aureus. Its description in RNAcentral is "partial 23S ribosomal RNA". It matches the Rfam family "Bacterial large subunit ribosomal RNA", at positions 447 to 2925 of the family's 2925-position model. The record is from RNAcentral. Lineage: Bacteria; Bacillati; Bacillota; Bacilli; Caryophanales; Staphylococcaceae.